RNAcentral lists this transfer RNA (90 nucleotides) under Candidatus Solibacter usitatus Ellin6076. RNAcentral describes it as "Selenocysteine transfer RNA". It matches the Rfam family "Selenocysteine transfer RNA". Lineage: Bacteria; Pseudomonadati; Acidobacteriota; Terriglobia; Bryobacterales; Solibacteraceae. The record is from Rfam by way of RNAcentral.
GGAAGCGUAUUUCAUCCGGUGGUGGGCGUGGUCUUCAAAACCACUGAGCGGCCGCAAAGCCGCUGAUCGGUUCGACUCCGAUACGCUUCC